Molecule: ribosomal RNA, 471 nt
Filed under: uncultured bacterium
Lineage: Bacteria
Description: partial 16S ribosomal RNA
Rfam family: Bacterial small subunit ribosomal RNA
Source: RNAcentral
GACGAACGCUGGCGGCGUGCUUAACACAUGCAAGUCGAACGAGGAAGCCUAGCUUGCUAGGUGGAUUAGUGGCGAACGGGUGAGUAAUACGUGAGUAACCUACCUUUAACUCUGGGAUAAGCCUUGGAAACUGGGUCUAAUACCGGAUACGACCAAUCUCCGCAUGGGGUGUUGGUGGAAAGCGUUAUGUAGUGGUUAUAGAUGGGCUCACGGCCUAUCAGCUUGUUGGUGAGGUAACGGCGCACCAAGGCGACGACGGGUAGCCGGGCUGAGAGGGUGACCGGCCACACUGGGACUGAGAUACGGCCCAGACUCCUCCGGGAGGCAGCAGUGCGGAAUAGUGCACAAUGGGCGCAAGCCUGAUGCAGCCACGCCGCGUGGGGGAUGACGGCCUUCGGGUUGUAUUCCUCUGUUAGCUGGGAAGAAGAGAAAUUGACGGUACCGGCAGAGAAAGCGCCGGCUAACUACGUG